This 2516-nucleotide non-coding RNA is filed under the name Pan troglodytes (chimpanzee). Lineage: Eukaryota; Metazoa; Chordata; Mammalia; Primates; Hominidae. The record is from RNAcentral.
AAAUGGUGCCAGACGUGGUGGUAUGAGCCUGUAAUUCCAGCUACUCAGGAAGCUGAGGUGGGAGGAUCACUCUGGCCUAGGAGUUUGAGAUCAGCCUGGGUGACAGAGCAAGACCCUGUCUCUAGAAAAGAGAAAGAAUAAAUGGCUGAUGGAGAUGACUCUACUGCAAAAAUGACAACCAGCAAGAAAGCGGGUGGUGCCCGUUUCCUCCCUGGGGACCCUCAGAGGGCCAGGCCAUUCUCUUCCUUGGUGUGACUGCGGAUCCAGGGCCCAGCUGAAGAGCAUCAGAUCUGUGGGCAUGUUGCACCAGUGAAUGUUGGAGAAGUACUUGUUGGACACACAUGUUCCUCCAUUUAGACAGUCACAGUUCGCUGGAGAGAACAAAGCCAACUGUUGUAGGGGUGGAUACUCACAUGGAACUUGAUGAAGUUCAUUGCUGCCCUGGAAGAGAUUCGGGAGGAGGCUUCAUCAAAGGUCCCAUGCUCCAGGGACUCCAGGGUGAGGGUAAACUGGCCCCAAUCCCAAAACCCACUCUUCCCUCUCCCUCUUGCCUCACCCUGUUCGUAUCUAGUUCUCAAAUGGAAGACCAUGGGUUUCCAGCCAGGAGAAAUGGAUUGACCCAAGCAAGCUUCAUCUACCAGAUGCCCGCAGGCUGGGGCAGUCCCGGCGGCCUCUUCCUCCCUUGCCAGCCAGUGCCAACCCCCGUGGUUCUCAAGCCUCCGCUGCCACCCUGUCCCAUUUCCUGGGGAGAGCCUGGCCCUGCUGUGGAUGGAAUCCGGAGGACCCCAGCUCCCUGAGCAGCCCCUCCUCUCCCCUGGUGCUGAUCAGAGGUCCUUGGGCAGCAUCAGUCAAAGCAAGAGCGCACUCACUUUGGAGUCGCUCACGACCAGGACGCAGAGAAGCAGGCGCGCCAGCAGGGCUCUCAUGGUGGCGAGGUCGGGGCGCUAGACGGCGGCUCUGCAAAGGAAGGAGAAGUCAGGGCAAGAGGCGGAGGAGCGGGAAGGCAGGCCAGGCGGACGACUGCAGCGCAGGGGAGAUGCCCGCGGUGACCAGGCUCCCCAGCUGUCUCUCUCCUCUCUGGGCUCCGGACUCCCGGGCAGCCUGGAUCGGCACCCGCGGGGGACGCCCGGAACGGGGCGCCUUGACUCCGUGCAGCCGCCGGGGAGCCCAGGGAGCCCGGGAAGCCCAGGGCGGGGGAGGCAGACGCUCGGGAGCUGGGGCCGCCGCGCAUCCGGCCCGGGGAUCUCAGGACCGCGGCACUCACCGGUGGCUGCGGCAGGAGGGCGCGAGCCGGCGCUGCGGGGACAGGUGGACCCUGGCCCGGGCUCCGGGGCUGCGGUCUCCGCACUGUGCUGCGACCCGCGGCGCCUGCUCUAUAUCAGGGCCCGCCCCGGCGCCGCCCCGCCCUCUCCCGCCCGGCUCCCUCCCCUGUCUUGCAGCGCUCAGCGACCCGGACCCCGCGUGCUUCCGCAACGCUCACAAAGAUUUGGGGGAAGCGCGAUCUCCAGCGGAGGGGACCCAACAGCGUCUGGACUGAGGAAUCGAGAGGCUUGUAAUUUCUCCGUGCUUCCUCCCAUGCACCUGGCCGGGGGCCUGCCCCAGUGCAAGGAGUCCCCGAAUUGCAGAGAGGAGAGAAGGCGCACAGGAGACUCUCUACCUCGCCCAGCUCUGAAGCCUCCUGGGGUCCUCUAAUCAGUUCUUCUGCAACUUCUCCCCGCUGGGCCCCAACUUGCCUAAGACUGCCUCAGACCCCCUUGCCCGCAGCUGAUGGAGCUGUGAAGUCUUCAUCAACGCGACAAAUGUACGAGACAUACUCUCCCAGAAGCACAGACAGAAAAACCCCUGCCUGUGUAGGGGCUCCCUCUGUGCGUCUGUUCAGUGGCAGUCCCCAGAUAUCACCAACACAACCAGUGGAUGGAACAAAGCCGGGCUUAUUGCUUUCGGCAGUAAGAGGGUUUGUUUGAUGGUGCUAUCAGAGGCGGAAAGGCAAGGCCAGAUUACUGAAAAUUUGCAGCUUGGUUUAAAGUCCGUUUUUGACAGGGCUUGAUAAGGAUUGGGUUAGGUGUCGUGAUAUGAUGUUACAGGAUUGUGGGAACAAAGUCCUAGGGCAUAAACUGUUGGUGCUUCCUAUUGAAGUGUUAACGGGUCUUUUGGGAAGUUUCCAUAAUGAGCAAUUCAUUUAUUUGUGCAGGCAAGAAUAAAAGUAAAGACAAUGGAAACAUGUAGACAGUUCUAACUGUGGAGGUUCUGGAGGGUGUGGAAGUUCUGUUCUCACCUCUGAGUAGAGGAAUUGGGAGACUGGAGGACAAAAUAAGAGGAAGAUUUAUUUUUCACUGUUUGUCUUUUUACACUCUUAACAUUUUAAAAAGCACAUCUCUGUAUAGCCCAUUCCAAAAAGAUAAUUACGCAUUUUUUAAUGCAUGUGUAUUUAGUGUUUUACUUCAUCAUAGAGCCUUGUUUAUUCUAUUCAGAUAGAAACAAUUGUUUAUCAAAUAAAAUUGUCCUCCAGAAAAACA